RNAcentral lists this ribosomal RNA (492 nucleotides) under uncultured bacterium. RNAcentral's name for it is "partial 16S ribosomal RNA". It matches the Rfam family "Bacterial small subunit ribosomal RNA", at positions 29 to 507 of the family's 1533-position model. The record is from RNAcentral.
AGUGAACGCUGGCGGUAGGCCUAACACAUGCAAGUCGAACGGCAGCACAGUAAGAGCUUGCUCUUACGGGUGGCGAGUGGCGGACGGGUGAGGAAUACAUCGGAAUCUACUUUUUCGUGGGGGAUAACGUAGGGAAACUUACGCUAAUACCGCAUACGACCUACGGGUGAAAGCAGGGGAUCUUCGGACCUUGCGCGAUUGAAUGAGCCGAUGUCGGAUUAGCUAGUUAGCGGGGUAAAGGCCCACCAAGGCGACGAUCCGUAGCUGGUCUGAGAGGAUGAUCAGCCACACUGGAACUGAGACACGGUCCAGACUCCUACGGGAGGCAGCAGUGGGGAAUAUUGGACAAUGGGCGCAAGCCUGAUCCAGCCAUACUGCGUGGGUGAAGAAGGCCUUCGGGUUGUAAAGCCCUUUUGUUGGGAAAGAAAAGCAGCAGGUUAAUACCCCGCUGUUCUGACGGUACCCAAAGAAUAAGCACCGGCUAACUUCGUG